UGAGGAAUAUUGGUCAAUGGGCGAGAGCCUGAACCAGCCAAGUCGCGUGAAGGAAGACUGCCUUAUGGGUUGUAAACUUCUUUUAUACAGGAAUAAAAAGGCUUACGUGUAGGCCAUUGCAAGUACUGUAUGAAUAAGCAUCGGCUAACUCCGUGCCAGCAGCCGCGGUAAUACGGAGGAUGCGAGCGUUAUCCGGAUUUAUUGGGUUUAAAGGGUGCGCAGGCGGGCUUUUAAGUCAGCGGUGAAAUCUGGACGCUUAACGUCCAAACUGCCGUUGAAACUGGGAGUCUUGAGUAUGGAUGAAGUAGGCGGAAUUCGUUGUGUAGCGGUGACAUGCAUAGAUAUAACGAGGAACUCCGAUUGCGUAGGCAGCUUACUAAGCCAUAACUGACGCUCAUGCACGAAAGCGUGGGGAUCAAACAGGAUUAGAUACCCUGGUAGUCCACGCCGUAAACGAUGAUUACUAGUUGUAUGCGAUAUGAUAGUAUGUGACUAAGCGAAAGCGAUAAGUAAUCCACCUGGGGAGUACGCCGGCAACGGUGAAACUUAAAUGAAUUGACGGGGUCAUAGCU
This 572-nucleotide ribosomal RNA is filed under the name uncultured bacterium. Its description in RNAcentral is "partial 16S ribosomal RNA". It matches the Rfam family "Bacterial small subunit ribosomal RNA", at positions 355 to 926 of the family's 1533-position model. The record is from RNAcentral.